RNAcentral lists this ribosomal RNA (426 nucleotides) under uncultured bacterium. Its description in RNAcentral is "bacterial SSU rRNA". It matches the Rfam family "Bacterial small subunit ribosomal RNA", at positions 29 to 446 of the family's 1533-position model. The record is from RNAcentral.
AGUGAACGCUGGCGGCAGGCCUAACACAUGCAAGUCGAACGGCAGCACGGCAGUAGCAAUACUGUGGGUGGCGAGUGGCGGACGGGUGAGGAAUACAUCGGGAUCUACCCUGUUGUGGGGGAUAACGUAGGGAAACUUACGCUAAUACCGCAUAAGAACUGAGGUUGAAAGCGGCGGACCGCAAGGCGUCGCGCGAUUGGAUGAACCGAUGUCCGAUUAGCUAGUUGGCGGGGUAAAGGCCCACCAAGGCGACGAUCGGUAGCUGGUCUGAGAGGACGACCAGCCACACUGGAACUGAGACACGGUCCAGACUCCUACGGGAGGCAGCAGUGGGGAAUAUUGGACAAUGGGCGCAAGCCUGAUCCAGCCAUGCCGCGUGGGUGAAGAAGGCCUUCGGGUUGGUUAAAGGACCCUUUUCGUUCCGGU